GGAUUUGGAAGGAAUCUGGGUUGGUUUGCUGACUGGGUCAUAAAGCUUAUUGGGAUUAAGAUAAGGAUUUGGUGUAUUUAACAUGAAUCCUAUGUUCCUUAUAGUUCCUUAGUAUCAAUAAUUUGUGGCUUCUCAAAAUGAAAUUGAGGGCAUUGACAACUGAAAGAGAUAAUUUCUCAUCAUGAAAUUAUCGCAAGUGCUUAUAAGAUAUAUUUUCAAAUAACUAAGAGGAGCAAUUAAAUUACACUAAAAUAGUGUUACACCACUAAAAAUGGGACUUCCGCAUGAAGUUUGGACUUGAUAUGCAACAAUGCAGUGGAUCUGUAGAUGUAUGAAAAACAAUGAAGUAGAUGCCAGCUUUGAAAGAUUAUUACUAUAGACAAAUAAUGGAAAGCACCAUAGAAGUACUGAGAUAUGGUAUGGAUUCAAAUGACAUUCCCACUCAUUUGAUGGCUUUUAAAAUCACAUUCAAAAUACGAUUUCACUUAAACUAAAGUAAUACAAUUCCUAUUUCUUAUAUAGGGUGGGAGAAACAAUAGUAGACAGGCAUCAACUAAGACAUCAGAUGUGAAUUGACGGGAACCUCAAAAUUAAGUAACAAAACAAAGGACACCUCAUCCAUCCUCCAAACACCUCAUCCUAUCAAGCUAUGAUUAAUAGUCUUUACAUAUAAAUCAAACAUUGGAAAGAAAUAUCCCACAUUUUCAGAACAAUUUGUCCAACUCUACAAUUUCUAACAACUCCACCGUACAUCUCCAUGCUAUCUUAGUUUCGGUAUCCCACAUGAUCAAAAUGCACAAAAACAUUGGCGAACUGCGCCAAAAUUAAAACAACCUACUUAUAAACAAUAUCAACAUUAUCACACUCACCGCUACAAAUUAGUUGGUGUUGCAGCCGCAGAUCGUGCUAUUGGAACCCCCUUUCGGCUUUUAAACAAUCAUCCACUCUUCAGUUUUCUGCAGCAACAAGUAUGGUUAUCAUGAACAAGAUUCAGCCNNNNNNNNNNNNNNNNNNNNNNNNNNNNNNNNNNNNNNNNNNNNNNNNNNNNNNNNACAGAUAUAUAGUCAAAUUGAAAUCCUAUAAUAGAACAACAAUUGAAGUGUUUAAUGAAAACACCAAGUAUUUGUGACAAUUUGAAAGCAAAACAAGGGACAUAUCAUUUAUUUUAUAGCAUAAACGUUUUUCAUAUAAGUAUUUAUAGCAUUUUCCAUUCUUUUUAUAAUAGAAGAUAAAAUCAAGUCAAACUGGCUAUACGUUGUUUUUAUCAUAAGCUAUACUGGAGAGCUUAUGAAAAUAAGCUGAAAACAGAUUAUGGACAUGUCAUAAGUUGUUUUCAUAAGUUCUCCCAAACAAUCUCACAAGUGCUUAUGCCAAAUAUGUCGUACCCGUAUCGGCUACAGGUAAGUAUAUAAUAAUAGUUUAUAUAAAGAGAUAUCAAAUUGAAAGUUGAAACAAAAACCUGUACCAAACAGAAACAGAAAUAAUCGCAUUUCUUUGAAUGAGGUUAAGGUUCGUCGCUUUCUUGGAAAGAAUUGCGUCUCUUCAUCUUUCUCUCUCAAGGUGUUCGUGAGUUUGUGAGCACAAACACGCACGUGUUGUUUUUUUGUUUUGUGAGCGGAAUCAAUUUCUGAGUUUAGGGAGGAUCGAUUUGGACAAGGAGAACAAAUUUGGGGAUGAAUCAACUUCUUUAUAAAACACUUUCUACUUUCUUAACUUCGUUAGUUNNNNN
This 1729-nucleotide long non-coding RNA is filed under the name Trifolium pratense (red clover). RNAcentral's name for it is "long non-coding RNA (TPRA_LNC005681)". The record is from RNAcentral. Lineage: Eukaryota; Viridiplantae; Streptophyta; Magnoliopsida; Fabales; Fabaceae.